RNAcentral lists this transfer RNA (81 nucleotides) under Slackia heliotrinireducens DSM 20476. It matches the Rfam family "tRNA". From Rfam's summary of the family: Transfer RNA (tRNA) molecules are approximately 80 nucleotides in length. Their secondary structure includes four short double-helical elements and three loops (D, anti-codon, and T loops). Further hydrogen bonds mediate the characteristic L-shaped molecular structure. tRNAs have two regions of fundamental functional importance: the anti-codon, which is responsible for specific mRNA codon recognition, and the 3' end, to which the tRNAs corresponding amino acid is attached (by aminoacyl-tRNA synthetases). tRNAs cope with the degeneracy of the genetic code in two manners: having more than one tRNA (with a specific anti-codon) for a particular amino acid; and 'wobble' base-pairing, i.e. permitting non-standard base-pairing at the 3rd anti-codon position. Lineage: Bacteria; Bacillati; Actinomycetota; Coriobacteriia; Eggerthellales; Eggerthellaceae. The record is from Rfam by way of RNAcentral.
GGGAGCGUGGCGGAAUUGGCAUACGCAGGGGACUUAAAAUCCUCCGUCUUUGACUUGUGGGUUCGAGUCCCACCGCUCCUA